Molecule: non-coding RNA, 4420 nt
Organism: Punica granatum (pomegranate)
Lineage: Eukaryota; Viridiplantae; Streptophyta; Magnoliopsida; Myrtales; Lythraceae
Source: RefSeq, a predicted model, not a curated record
UUAUAGUGUGAGCGCUCUCUUAUGAAAACUAAGCACCAUUUGAUUUUGACGAACGAAGUAGGAAUAGCAAGAUUUACCAUUUGAUAUUUAGUUCUAUUAUUUCUAACAUGAGAUUUGGUGUGUGUAUAUGUAUAUAUAUAUAUGUAUGUCUCUUUUUAAUUAUAAGUAAAAUUUUUCGAUUCACUAUUCGAUUCUACGAUUCACGAUUUUACGACCCUUGACCGAUUCUAGGUAGAAUUGCGAUUCUGACAACUUUGAUCCCACCCUUUCUCUCUCUUUUUUUCCCUAGCGCUGCUCAAGGGAAACCCUAACCUUAUUUCCCUUCACCUGCGCGUCCAGUCACAGCCGAUCCAUCCAGCCUCAUCCUUCCUCCACCAUAAAGCUGAUCGUCCCCUUAUCUCUCGGGUGGCAUUCGCCUCUACAAUGGCUUUUUGCUUCUCCCUAUCCUUUUUCUCUCUUGGCGUCUCGGUAAUAGUGUUGAUGGCAGAGGCAAUUCCCUUCCUCCCAGUGGCCGUUGUGAGGUCCUCCCUCACUUUCUCGACUAGUGAUGUUAGAUCUAUGGUGGGGCUGGUGGUGAUGACGUCCGGUGGUGGCAAUGACCCUAUCCCUCUUCCUCUUCCUCUCCAGCGUGGUGUGUGUGGCAGUGGCUUCCCUCUCCCUUCCGGUGGUCACGCCGUUUUCUUCUCCAGCGAUCUAAGCUAUGGUGGUGAUAUGGCAAAAUAUCCGGCCGCUCCGACGAAGCAGGGGCGCUCUCCUCUUCACCCUUUCCGUGCUUCCAACUUUCCCUUCCUCCUUUUUCAAUGGCGGCUUCCUGCCUGCGACUCUCUGUUGUCCUUCCUAAGCAGCAUUAUCCUCUGUCGUCCACCACAAAGAGUGUGCCUUCUUGUUAGACUGGAGCCCCUAUCAUGCCUCCUACCGCCUUAAUCGAGCUUUUGUCAAACCGGCCUUUUUUUGUCUCGAAAGGGCUAGUCUCGACUCCCUUGAUUGAUGAUCGCUAGUUUGAACCGAUCGAGUCGGCCUUGUUAAAGACCCUCGAUUUGACUGCCUUGGGAUUGAGUUGUUUAAGAGAUGGUGUGCGGCUAGACUGGUUGGCUUCAUGAUUCCUUCCCCGGCUCUAUCAAAUUGGAUGGUUACUUGGUGUCUUCAUCGGCCUGGGCUUUCUAAUCUAAUCUGUUGGCCCAACUCUGUAAAGGGUUCCUGUCGGGCGAGUAUGACUUAAGGCGUCUCCUGUUUUGCUUUGAUGUCAAUUUUUCUUUGGAAUGUCGGCACCAGAAGAUUGAGAUUUACAUGGAUUAAAUGGCUUGAGGACCCUUUAUCUUGGUUUUCACCGGGAUCCAUGUGGGACAAUGGUUUUAAAACUAGGUUUGUAAAGGCCGUAACGGCCAUUAUGUAAUGGUAUCGGCCGGGUUCGAUACUGUUACAGGCCGAUAUAUUGGGGAGAAAUAGUUUCAUGUAAAUAUCGUCCAUAACGGCAUUACUAUGGCCGUAACGGCCUAUACAACCGUUAAGUGUUUAUUUUUAGCCGAUCUUUAACUUUCUAUGGCAGGGCAAUGGGAGAAAAUGUGCAAUUAUUGCAAAUGGAGUGAAGAAAGAUGACCCAUGAAAUUAAAUGAAAAAGAUAGAUGUAUAGAUUUUUUCUUUUGAAUAAGUGAAAGAUGCAUACAUUGUAGAUAUAUAAUAGAUGUACUUCAAAUAUUUUUUAAGAAAAAAUAAAUAAGUUGAUAGAUGUAACAAAAAGUUGAUGGAUAGGUUGAAAAGAAGAACGGCAAUGUUCUACUUGAGUCUAGACAAAUGCCUUCGGAUUAGAAAAAUUGAAGUACCCUUUGACAUGUCCACUCCCUGAAUAAAGAAGGAACCCAUUAGCCCUUGGGGUCAAACUUUAAUUAUUUUAUGAGAGGAAAAACAAAUAAGAUAUUGGAUGUGACAAAAAGAUGAUAGAUGAGACUAGUCAAAUGUACUUAUACAGUACUCGUAAGAAAAUUUUGUAUAUUUAUGCAAUCUGACACACAUAUAUACGUAUAUUUUAUUUGUACAAGUUGAUAUGUCUAUAGUUGAAAUAACUGUACUCUACAAAGUAGUAGAUAUAUUCUCUAUAAAAGUAAAUUGCAUGCAGAUAUUCCCUGUAAAAUUGAGUUCCCAUGUAAAAGAAAGUAAAGUUCUUCUGACUCAUAAAGAAAAGUUAGUAAAUAACAAGAAGAAGAGGAAGGGUGACACUGUAUAAUGAUCUCAAGUCACUCAUUAUUCAAACAUCAUAACUUUAGUGUCUUCUUUUAGCCUUUCCUCCAAAAACGAAACUGAAGUUGGUGAAACUUUACUGAAAAGCAGAAGCUGUUGAAGAACACUUCAUUCAUCUUCAGGGUUUUAAAACUAGAGGAGAUCAUAAGGUAAAUUAUAUUGUUUAAGUAUUAUUCUUUUUAUUUCCUUUAUUUAAGAACAUCUGCAUUAUAUAUAUAUAUAUAUAUGUACAUAUUUCUUGAUUAAUUGUUUGAAGGUUCUUUGGUUUCGUAAGAAAACUAGGAACGGAAAUUUAACUUUAUACAGUUUGACCCUUAAUUGUUUACAUAUACAUAUACAUACAUAUAUACAUACAUAUAUAUAUAUAUAUAUAUAUAUGAAUUGCUCCAAUGAAUGUACAUGCAUAUAUACACCUACUACAUGAAAACUCGUGUUUUGACCCGACUGAGAGGAAUCAUACUUGGAUUUCUACUCCAACAGCAAUCGUUUUGACAUGAACAAAAUUGUAUUAGUUCUCUAAUUAAUUUCUGUUUUAUUGCAGGUGAAAAUGUCACGGGAAAAACCUAUACAAGGGAAUCCUAAUAGUGGCGACAUGGAAUGGAAAUUCGCCAAGCUUGUUGAUGGAAAAAGAAACAUUGCUAAAUGCAAAUUCUGCGAUAGGGUGCUACUAGUGGAAUCACUCAGGUGAAAGAGCACAUAGCUCAUAAAACUGGAAACGUCGCCCCAUGUCCUCAAGUUUCAAAGGAAGCGAGGGAGAAAAUGAUGAAGCUUUUGACGCAAAAGAAUGAUAAAAAGGUCGACAAGCAGAAAAGAAAUGAAGAGUUUAUGGAAAAUUUACGAGGUGACGAAGAUGAUUAGGAAGGAUUUGCUAAGGACAGGGCGAUGAGACAUGCGAUGAAAGAGAGUAUAAGAUCUUAUCAACAGUGGGAAGAUAUGCAGAGAGUUAAAGCACAAACGGGUGCAUUUCGCAACACCUUUGAUAUUGGAGGUUCUUUUGUUUCGACUUCCAGUGGAAGAUUAGGGAGGCGCUCUCGAAGUGUUUGAGAAUCUGCUGGCAAUGGACGACAGUGGAUUGAUCCCCAGUCAGCCGAAGCUCAACUCAGGACGAUGGAUCCUCAUUACCAUCGACAUAUGGGUGCCAAGCAGCCCAAAAUAUGGACCAAGUUUCUCAAAGAAUUGGGGCAAAAGUUGGGAAAAGCAGUGAGCAAUUUUUUAUUUGCAAAUAAUAUUGCGCCAAAUGUAUGCUAUGAUGUGAAUAUGUAGGUUAUGCUCGAUGUUGCUGCUGAGGUCGGGAAAGGGAUAUGGAAAGAAAGGGGUGUUUUGAUCAUGAUGGACAGCUGGACGGAUGGUAUAUCUCACACACACAUAAUCAAAUUUCUUGUCUACUACUGCAAAGGUACGAUUUUUUACAAGUCCGAAGAUGCAAUUGGAGUAACAAGUAGAGACGGGCAUUAUUAUUUCCAGUUGAUGGAUAAAAUAGUGGAUGAGAUUGGCGAGGAGUAUGUUGUCCAUAUCUUAACUAAUAAUGAAGCAGCCAUGAAAGCUGCUGGAAAAUUGUUGAUGUCUACAAGGAAGCAUUAUAUUGGACAGCUUGCAUGGCAUAUUGUUUGGAUCUUAUCUUGGAAGAUAUAUAGAAGAAGAGUAGUGUGAAAAGAAAAUUACUUCUUUCAUAUACAACCAUGGGUGGGGGGUCAGUUAUAUCAAGAAGUUUACAAAUGGAAAGCACUUGAUUCGUCCAAUAAUAACACGCUUCGCUACCAACUUUCUUCAGAUCAAAUGCCUUGUUGAGCAGAGAAAUAAUUUGUAGACAAUGUUUGUUUCUGACGGAUGGGUAAGAUCCAAAUUUGGGAAGGAGGUUUCAGGGCCAGCUGUUAAGGCUGAAGAUGUUGUCGUGAGCUCUUUGUUUUGGAGGAAAGCGAAAUAAUUGCUUGUGGUACUUACACCGCUUCUAAGCGUACUCAAGCUGGCGAUCUCUGGUGAGCCUACAAUGGGGUAUGUUUAUGAAGUUCUUGAUGAGCCAAACUGGUGAUCGGGAAAGACUGUCGAUAUUAGAAGCGAUAUUGGGACAUAAUUGAUGAUCGGUGGAAAUUCUAAUUACAUUAAGAUUUACAUUUUGCGGGUACAUUUGUUAUUAAUUAUGUUCUUUAGAUAUUUCUAAAAUUAAUCAAGUAAAAAUUAGUAUUUC